GCAGUGGUGGUCCUCGCAGUGCGGGCGGGCCGCGGAUGCGAAGGUGACCCAGUGGGCAGUGAGGGUCAGGUACUCACGGCUCUGGGUGCCCGUCCAGAUUCCCGAUGUGAAGUGGACCAUGCCACUCUCAGCCUCCCUCAGCUGGGACAGGACCAUCUGCUUCACGCUGUCGUACAUGCCCGGGAUGGCCGUGCUGCAGAAGUAGGAGGGCGGGGGCACGGAGUACUGGGGCCUCAGGUACCCCAGCAGCCUGUUGAAGCCAGCGCUGUCCACGAGGGAGUAGGGCUGGAGGUCCAGUGCGAUCAUCUCUGCUAUCAGGCUGGUGAUUUUUUUGGCAACUGGGUGAGAGUCAUAGAACUUCUCACUGGGGUCAUCGAAGGAGGACGUGCCCGACAACUCUGUGCUCAGUGGUCCCCGGACUCCUGGAGAGCAGGACAGGGUGGUCUCCGGGUGGACAUCGGCCUUGAGCACGUGGCCGUGGAACCUCUGCAGGUGCCUCAGGAGGCAGCUGGWGCCCAGGUUGGUGGGCUUCUUGCCCCUGCUGAUGGUCCGGCCACAGUGCAGACACACCACCUUGGUGGAGUCCGCAGAGCAGACGGAGAAGUGGUUCCACAGCUUGGAGGUCUUCUUGCUGCUGACGGGAAACGCGGCCUGGUGGCUCCUCCUGACCACGGCGGGCAGGGCCGGCGUCCUGGAGGAGCAGCUUUCUGCAGAAGCCAAAGUGGCAUACGGAGAGUUCGCCAGACUGGCUCCCAGGAAGCCCUUCUGGGUCCCGACCACCUCGGGGUGGCGUCGGUACAGAUGCCGCAUCAAGCAGCUGGUGCCCACAUCCCCCUUCUUCCCCCGGCUGAUGACGCAGCCACAGUAGCGACACACGGCCUUCAGACUGUCCGUGGGGGCCAGGGAGAAGUGGUGCCAGACCUCCGACUUCAGUCUCUUCAUGACCUUCUUGUUCUGCUGGAAGACGGCACCAGGCUCGCACCUCCUCGGGCUCGACCCGCUGGCCUGCUGCUUCUCAGGAGAGGUGCCCAUAGAAGCCUCGCCCACGUCCUGGAAGGACUACAGCCGGACAUGUCCCAGCAGAGUGGGUCCCCAGGCAGGUCCUCAGCCAGCCUGUCUGGGGACGAGGAGGCCCAGGGGCACUCUUGGACCAGCUUUCCUGGAGAGGAGGACAUGGAGUCCGGCUCCCCGUCUGGAGGCAGCAGGGUGGGCAGCAGGGUGGGGGGCGUGGGGUACAGGGGCGGGAUGCCCGAGCCGCCCCCGUUUUCCUGUAGCACGAUGGAGCGGUGUGCUCUCCACAUGUGCCGGAUGAGGCAGCUGGUGCCCAGGUCCUUCCCGUUCUUGCCCCUGCUGAACUCGUUCAUGCAGUGCACGCAGACGGCCUUGGAGCUGUCCAGCGGGGACAGGUAG
This 1410-nucleotide long non-coding RNA is filed under the name Urocitellus parryii (Arctic ground squirrel). Its description in RNAcentral is "lncRNA (ENSUPAG00010005351.1)". Lineage: Eukaryota; Metazoa; Chordata; Mammalia; Rodentia; Sciuridae. The record is from RNAcentral.